This 360-nucleotide ribosomal RNA is filed under the name uncultured bacterium. RNAcentral describes it as "bacterial SSU rRNA". It matches the Rfam family "Bacterial small subunit ribosomal RNA", at positions 28 to 389 of the family's 1533-position model. The record is from RNAcentral.
GACGAACGCUGGCGGCGUGCUUAACACAUGCAAGUCGAGCGGUAAGGCCCUUUCGGGGGUACACGAGCGGCGAACGGGUGAGUAACACGUGGGUGACCUGCCCUCAGCUCUGGGAUAAGCCUGGGAAACUGGGUCUAAUACCGGAUAUGACUCCAUGACGCAUGUUGUGGGGUGGAAAGCCUUGUGCGGCUGAGGAUGGGCCCGNGGCCUAUCAGCUUGUUGGUGGGGUGANGGCCUACCAAGGCGACGACGGGUAGCCGGCCUGAGAGGGCGACCGGCCACACUGGGACUGAGACACGGCCCAGACUCCUACGGGAGGCAGCAGUGGGGAAUCUUGCGCAAUGGGCGAAAGCCUGACGC